RNAcentral lists this ribosomal RNA (253 nucleotides) under uncultured bacterium. RNAcentral describes it as "partial 16S ribosomal RNA". It matches the Rfam family "Bacterial small subunit ribosomal RNA", at positions 524 to 776 of the family's 1533-position model. RNAcentral also lists the same sequence under 1 other name. The record is from RNAcentral.
UACGUAGGGUGCAAGCGUUAAUCGGAAUUACUGGGCGUAAAGGGUGCGCAGGCGGUAUUGUAAGCCAGAUGUGAAAUCCCCGGGCUCAACCUGGGAACUGCGUUUGGAACUGCAAUGCUAGAGUGUGUCAGAGGGGGGUGGAAUUCCACGUGUAGCAGUGAAAUGCGUAGAGAUGUGGAGGAACACCGAUGGCGAAGGCAGCCCCCUGGGAUAACACUGACGCUCAGGCACGAAAGCGUGGGGAGCAAACAGG